RNAcentral lists this ribosomal RNA (905 nucleotides) under Glossidium pedatum. RNAcentral describes it as "SSU rRNA". It matches the Rfam family "Eukaryotic small subunit ribosomal RNA", at positions 957 to 1808 of the family's 1831-position model. The record is from RNAcentral. Lineage: Eukaryota; Metazoa; Platyhelminthes; Trematoda; Plagiorchiida.
GCCAAGGAUGUUUUCAUUGAUCUGGAGCGAAAGUCAGAGGUUCGAAGACGAUCAGAUACCGUCCUAGUUCUGACCAUAAACGAUGCCAACUGACGAUCCGUGGGUAAUCUAUUAAUGAUCCUGCGGGCAGUCCCCGGGAAACCUUUAAGUCUUUGGGCUCCGGGGGAAGUAUGGUUGCAAAGCUGAAACUUAAAGGAAUUGACGGAAGGGCACCACCAGGAGUGGAGCCUGCGGCUUAAUUCGACUCAACACGGGAAAACUCACCCGGCCCGGACACUGUGAGGAUUGACAGAUUGAUAGCUCUUUCUUGAUUCGGUGGUUGGUGGUGCAUGGCCGUUCUUAGUUGGUGGAGCGAUUUGUCUGGUUAAUUCCGAUAACGAACGAGACUUUGGCCUGCUAAAUAGUACACUUGUCCUCUGUGCUCGUGCAAGUGGCGAUUUUCACUACCCGUUAUCGGGGUGUGAUGUUGUUAACGGGCGAGUACUGCGCAAGUGUCUACUUCUUAGAGGGACAAGCGGCUAAAAAGUCGCACGAAAAUGAGCAAUAACAGGUCUGUGAUGCCCUUAGAUGUCCGGGGCCGCACGUGCGCUACAAUGACGGUUUCAGCGAGUUUUGAAUCCUGCCCUGAAAUGGUUGGGCAAACUAAAGCAUUACCGUCGUGACUGGGAUCGGGGCUUGCAAUUAUUCCCCGUGAACGAGGAAUUCCUGGUAAGUGCAAGUCAUAAGCUUGCGCUGAUUACGUCCCUGCCCUUUGUACACACCGCCCGUCGCUACUAUCGAUUGAACGGUUUAGCAAGGUCAUUGGAUUGAUCCUAUUGUAGUUGCUUCGGUAACUCGACCGGGGUUGAGAAAUGACCGAACUUGAUCCUUUAGAGAAAGUAAAAGUCGUAACAAGGUUUCCGUAG